RNAcentral lists this ribosomal RNA (375 nucleotides) under Triticum aestivum (bread wheat). Its description in RNAcentral is "partial small subunit ribosomal RNA". Lineage: Eukaryota; Viridiplantae; Streptophyta; Magnoliopsida; Poales; Poaceae. The record is from RNAcentral.
AUGAUUUUCAAAUCUUUUUUAUUUAGUAGUCUAAGUUUCUCGAUGAGGAUAAUUAAUUCGGUCAUUGUGGUCGGACUCUAUUAUGGAUUUCUGACUACAUUCUCCAUAGGGAAGAAGGAGAUAUUCGCGACUACCGGCGAUUUCAUUAUGGGGAAGCUCAUGAUCUUCAUAUCGAUCUAUUAUCCAGCUCUGUAUCUAUUCUUUAAAUCAAAAAACAUGCCCACAUGCUUAGAGAGAGAGGUGUUGAUAAAAACAAAAUACGGACAUAGAAGCAUCAUGCAUAUUAUUAUAACAGCAAGGAAUUUAAACAUAAAGUUUUUAUCACAUAAAUUUUAUCAUAUAACCUUUAUCAUAUACCUUCUCAUGAAAAAGUAA